AUACGAAGGGUGCAAGCGUUAAUCGGAAUUACUGGGCGUAAAGCGCGCGUAGGUGGUUCGUUAAGUUGGAUGUGAAAGCCCCGGGCUCAACCUGGGAACUGCAUCCAAAACUGGCGAGCUAGAGUAUGGCAGAGGGUGGUGGAAUUUCCUGUGUAGCGGUGAAAUGCGUAGAUAUAGGAAGGAACACCAGUGGCGAAGGCGACCACCUGGGCUAAACGUGCCACUGAGGUGCGAAAGCGUGGGGAGCAAACAGGAUUAGAUCCCCUGGUAGUCCACGCCGUAAACGAUGUCGACUAGCCGUUGGGAUCCUUGAGAUCUUAGUGGCGCAGCUAACGCAUUAAGUCGACCGCCUGGGGAGUACGGCCGCAAGGUUAAACUCAAAGGAAUUGACGGGG
This 395-nucleotide ribosomal RNA is filed under the name uncultured bacterium. Its description in RNAcentral is "partial 16S ribosomal RNA". It matches the Rfam family "Bacterial small subunit ribosomal RNA", at positions 523 to 918 of the family's 1533-position model. The record is from RNAcentral.